UACGGAGGGUGCAAGCGUUAAUCGGAAUUACUGGGCGUAAAGCGUGCGUAGGCGGUUUUUUAAGUCAGAUGUGAAAGCCCUGGGCUUAACCUGGGAACGGCAUUUGAUACUGGAAGACUUGAGUUGAGUAGAGGGGAGUGGAAUUUCAGGUGUAGCGGUGAAAUGCGUAGAGAUCUGAAGGAACACCAGUGGCGAAGGCGACUCCCUGGACUCAAACUGACGCUGAGGUACGAAAGCGUGGGUAGCAAACAGG
Molecule: ribosomal RNA, 253 nt
Filed under: uncultured bacterium
Lineage: Bacteria
Description: partial 16S ribosomal RNA
Rfam family: Bacterial small subunit ribosomal RNA
Source: RNAcentral